This is a non-coding RNA of Ceratotherium simum simum (southern white rhinoceros), 99 nucleotides long. The record is from RefSeq and is a predicted model, not a curated record. NCBI's taxonomy places the organism in Eukaryota, Metazoa, Chordata, Mammalia, Perissodactyla, Rhinocerotidae.
CCCCGUGUCCGACCCACAGGUGGCAGAGAGCUCACAGCCCAGCUGUGCCCUCUAGGUCACGCUCCCCAGGACACUGCUUGGGCCCGGGGGUAACACUGU